GAACUUAAGCAUAUCAAUAAGCGGAGGAAAAGAAACCAACAGGGAUUGCCUCAGUAACGGCGAGUGAAGCGGCAACAGCUCAAAUUUGAAAUCUGACCCCUUCGGGGCCCGAGUUGUAAUUUGUAGAGGAUGCUUCGGGUGCGGCGCCGGUCUAAGUUCCUUGGAACAGGACGUCAUAGAGGGUGAGAAUCCCGUAUGCGACCGGCGGCCAACCCCGUGUGAAGCCCCUUCGACGAGUCGAGUUGUUUGGGAAUGCAGCUCAAAAUGGGUGGUAAAUUUCAUCUAAAGCUAAAUACCGGCCAGAGACCGAUAGCGCACAAGUAGAGUGAUCGAAAGAUGAAAAGCACUUUGGAAAGAGAGUCAAACAGUACGUGAAAUUGUUGAAAGGGAAGCGCUUGCAACCAGACCUGCCCGCGGGCGAUCAGCCGUUAUUCUUAGCGGUGCACUCGUCCGCGAUCAGGCCAGCAUCGGUUCGGGCGGCCGGAUAAAGGCCUCGGGAAUGUAGCUCCCCCCGGGGAGUCUUAUAGCCUGGGGUGCAAUGCGGCCAGCCCGGACCGAGGACCGCGCUUCGGCUAGGAUGCUGGCGUAAUGGUUGUAAGCGACCCGUCUUGAAACACGGACC
RNAcentral lists this ribosomal RNA (622 nucleotides) under Porpidia melinodes. RNAcentral's name for it is "LSU rRNA". It matches the Rfam family "Eukaryotic large subunit ribosomal RNA", at positions 30 to 667 of the family's 3401-position model. The record is from RNAcentral. Lineage: Eukaryota; Fungi; Ascomycota; Lecanoromycetes; Lecideales; Lecideaceae.